Cyprinus carpio (common carp) is the source of this 311-nucleotide long non-coding RNA. RefSeq lists it as uncharacterized. The transcript is spliced from 3 exons. Lineage: Eukaryota; Metazoa; Chordata; Actinopteri; Cypriniformes; Cyprinidae. The record is from RefSeq and is a predicted model, not a curated record.
AGAAUUACUGUCACAAGGCCGCCGACACUCCGGCUCCGACAGAAGGAGACAACAGGCUUUGUUAUAAAAGGAACCUCCAAGGGCAGCACUCUCCAGGCACAGUGACAGGAUUGAGACAGCUGUGGCCGCAGGCAGCUGCCACACAGCGGGCCUCUCCACUCACACACUGGCAGAAGCUACUGCAAGGGUCAUCUAACCUUCACAGACAGGGCAGCACUCUCCGUCAGGGACGUAGUAGCGUUCGCAGUGGAGGACGCCGCACUGGGCUGUAAAGCACACGGACACCCCACCCUGACAGCGGCAGAAGCGAC